This 76-nucleotide transfer RNA is filed under the name Nocardioides sp. RNAcentral's name for it is "tRNA-Arg". It matches the Rfam family "tRNA". From Rfam's summary of the family: Transfer RNA (tRNA) molecules are approximately 80 nucleotides in length. Their secondary structure includes four short double-helical elements and three loops (D, anti-codon, and T loops). RNAcentral also lists the same sequence under 7 other names. Lineage: Bacteria; Bacillati; Actinomycetota; Actinomycetes; Propionibacteriales; Nocardioidaceae. The record is from RNAcentral.
GCCCUCGUAGCUCAGGGGAUAGAGCACCGCUCUCCUAAAGCGGGUGCCGCAGGUUCGAAUCCUGCCGGGGGCACCA